GCUCCUAUAGCUCAGUUGGCAGAGCGUACGUCUCAUAAUCCUGAACUCUAAGAGUGCGCAAGCGUAAGGCCGGCAGUUCGAUCCUGUCUGGGAGCA
Molecule: transfer RNA, 96 nt
Filed under: Fistulifera solaris
Lineage: Eukaryota; Bacillariophyta; Bacillariophyceae; Naviculales; Stauroneidaceae
Rfam family: tRNA
About the family: Transfer RNA (tRNA) molecules are approximately 80 nucleotides in length.
Source: Rfam by way of RNAcentral